Molecule: ribosomal RNA, 663 nt
Filed under: uncultured bacterium
Lineage: Bacteria
Description: bacterial SSU rRNA
Rfam family: Bacterial small subunit ribosomal RNA
Source: RNAcentral
CGGGGUAACGGCCCACCGGGGCGACGAUCAGUAGGGGUUCUGAGAGGAAGGUCCCCCACAUUGGAACUGAGACACGGUCCAAACUCCUACGGGAGGCAGCAGUGAGGAAUAUUGGUCAAUGGGCGCGAGCCUGAACCAGCCAAGUAGCGUGCAGGAUGACGGCCCUAUGGGUUGUAAACUGCUUUUAUACGGGGAUAAAGUAUGCCACGUGUGGUUUAUUGCAGGUACCGUAUGAAUAAGGACCGGCUAAUUCCGUGCCAGCAGCCGCGGUAAUACGGAAGGUCCGGGCGUUAUCCGGAUUUAUUGGGUUUAAAGGGAGCGUAGGCCGGGUUUUAAGCGUGCCGUGAAAUGUCGGGGCUCAACCUUGACACUGCGGCGCGAACUGGAGUCCUUGAGUGCGCGGAACGUAUGCGGAAUUCGUGGUGUAGCGGUGAAAUGCUUAGAUAUCACGAAGAACCCCGAUUGCGAAGGCAGCAUACGGCAGCGCUACUGACGCUGAAGCUCGAAGGCGCGGGUAUCGAACAGGAUUAGAUACCCUGGUAGUCCGCGCGGUAAACGAUGGAUGCCCGCUGUUGGCGAUAUAUUGUCAGCGGCCAAGCGAAAGCGUUAAGCAUCCCACCUGGGGAGUACGCCGGCAACGGUGAAACUCAAAGGAAUUGACGG